AAGAGCUCACCAAGGCAUCGAUCAGUAGCUGGUCUGAGAGGAUGAUCAGCCACACUGGGACUGAGACACGGCCCAGACUCCUACGGGAGGCAGCAGUGGGGAAUUUUCCGCAAUGGGCGAAA
This 122-nucleotide ribosomal RNA is filed under the name uncultured bacterium. RNAcentral's name for it is "partial 16S ribosomal RNA". It matches the Rfam family "Bacterial small subunit ribosomal RNA", at positions 259 to 380 of the family's 1533-position model. The record is from RNAcentral.